AACGUAGGACACAAGCGUUAUCCGGAGUUACUGGGCGUAAAGGGCGUGUAGGCGGAUCGGUAAGUCUACUCUGAAAGCUCCUGGCUAAACUGGGAGAGGCGAGUGGAGACUGUCGGUCUAGAGUGAGGAAGAGGAAAGUGGAAUUCCGGGUGUAGUGGUGGAAUACGUAGAUAUCCGGAGGAACACCAGCGGCGAAGGCGGCUUUCUGGUCUGAUACUGACGCUGAGGCGCGAAAGCGUGGGGAGCGAUCCGG
This 253-nucleotide ribosomal RNA is filed under the name uncultured bacterium. RNAcentral's name for it is "partial 16S ribosomal RNA". It matches the Rfam family "Bacterial small subunit ribosomal RNA", at positions 524 to 776 of the family's 1533-position model. The record is from RNAcentral.